Brassica oleracea var. oleracea is the source of this 1492-nucleotide long non-coding RNA. RefSeq lists it as uncharacterized. The record is from RefSeq and is a predicted model, not a curated record. The transcript has 5 exons. NCBI's taxonomy places the organism in Eukaryota, Viridiplantae, Streptophyta, Magnoliopsida, Brassicales, Brassicaceae.
ACAAUCUGUUCCGGCUUCUUUUCUUCUUUUAUCCGGCAUAAAUUCUCCAUGCAUGUUCUUCAUCUUCUCGUUUAAUCGAGGAAAAAUAUCUUCUCGGUUUUGUAGUAAAGGAAAAACCUUUCUUCUCAGGUAUAAACACGUUUUUUACCUGCUUUCAUUUUGGUCUUUAAGAUGUUUAUCAAAUAUCAACGAAAGCGUUCUACAAAUCUUUGGCAAACUAACGAGCUCUACCAAUUGGCCGCUGUAGCAUUUUGCUUGCUUAUCGCUUGGUGACAAGCUCUGUUUAAGUCUUGAGUUGGGUUCCUUUGCGGCGGGAGUGAUGAACUCAACAACUGAUCUUGCUCAGCACACUCUUGAACAAGUGGAACCAAUCCGGAAAUUUUUUUGCAGCGCUGUUUCUUGCUAGCAUUGGAAUGUUGAUACAUAUGCACUUCUUGUGGAACCAUGUUGACAUUCUAGUAGCAGCAGUGUUACUGGUGAUAGUAAUAAAGACCGUGGUAGUUGCAGUUGUUGUUAAAGUCUUUCCAUACAACAACAGAACUGCAGUGCUUGUAAGAAGUGAACCUACUUGCAUCAAAUCUUCACCUAAUUGAGAGCAAACUGUACCUCUGCUUCUGGGGACAACUGCUUAAAGCUUGGUAUGGUCCAGUACAUCAUAGCUUAAGGACCUCAGGUGCUAUGUGCAGGUGUUGAUGAAGAUCGGAGUCCCGCGGGCCUGUACCGCCAAGGCUUGUGCAAGUCGCGGGUCGGGAUUGGGCAGCACUUCUAGGGACUGCAUACCGCGCGGGCCUGUACUGCCAAGACCCGCAUUGAACGUGUACCGCGGCGGGGCGGGACAAGUCGGGUCGGUACAACCCACUUGACAUCACUACGUGCGAUAUGUCUACUUGCGGUCAAAAGAUUCUCUUGGAGAAAGGUUCGUUUAUUUAAUAAAUAUUCUUAGUAGCUUUAUGUACUACAAGACACUCUUUUCUUUCCAUCACAAGAACCAAAAAAGGAAAAAAAGGAUUUUGCAUCGUGUGGCUACGUUAACUUAUUUUAUUAGGUAACUGGCGAUAAAGCUGUUCACUUUUAGAUAAUACCAAAAGUAUCCUUAUUAGAAUAAAAUAAUGAUAUCUAGGAUUUAGGCAGUUUGUCUGACACACCGCUAGGAUAGCCGGUAAAACAUGCCAUUGUAUUAAUGAUUAUGCACGUCGGAACUGUUUCGAAAUCUGCAUUCAAUAUUUUGCAAAGAGCCAGAACCUAUAUGUUUUCCCCUAUCUUCGUCUAUUUAUAUUCCCAAGUUCUUAUCUUUUACUCAACUUCCAAGAAUUCCCUCAGCCGUAAAUGAGAUGGUUGCCUCGCGUCUUGUUGAAUUCCCAGAAGAUCUAGUCGAAGAAAUGAGUAUGACGCUACCAGAUAUGAUGUUUGUUGACGGCCAGGAACCCGUCGAAGUUAGGGUUCUUAGAGCAUGAUUAAUGGAGAGUUCUUAGGGUGGGUUCUUAGCGGAAUA